Long non-coding RNA from Rhincodon typus (whale shark), 481 nucleotides. RefSeq lists it as uncharacterized. The transcript has 2 exons. The record is from RefSeq and is a predicted model, not a curated record. NCBI's taxonomy places the organism in Eukaryota, Metazoa, Chordata, Chondrichthyes, Orectolobiformes, Rhincodontidae.
UGCUCGCCGAGCCGGUGAGUUUGGUUGCAAAUAUUUCAUCACCCUGCUAGUUUCAGGUCACCUUGUGUCCUUCGGUGAGUCAGUGUCCAGCGGUACCAGAUGAUUCUCACCAUGGAGUACACCCACCAGCAGUGCCCGCCCCCCGCAACCCAACCGUCCCCUGGGAGGAAUGGUCUAUCACUCUGAAAAACUGAUAUCAACGCAAUUAGUGACUGGAAAAGGAGGAAGGUCUUAGGUUGAGAUUCGAGACGAUCCAAAAGUCAACACCUAUGUCUGAGACCGAGCGUCAUCGACUGGAUUUGUUAAACAAACAUGCAAGGUUCCCUGAAGGUUAAAACAGCAAAAUCAGGAAGAGAUUAAAGGAUCCAAAGGUCAUUAAAAAGUUCUUCACAGUCAACAGGAGGAGAAUGAGCGCUGGCUCGAAAAAUACUUCAUAACAAUGAGCUAUUCAGCAGUGGAAAAAAAAUGUCUUUGGCAGCCA